UACGGAGGGGGCCAGCGUUGUUCGGAAUUAUUGGGCGUAAAGGGCUCGUAGGCGGUCUGUCGCGUCGAAAGUGAAAACUCAGGGCUUAACCCUGAGCCUGCUUCCGAUACGGGCAGACUAGAGGUAUGCAGGGGAGAACGGAAUUCCUGGUGUAGCGGUGAAAUGCGCAGAUAUCAGGAGGAACACCGGUGGCGAAGGCGGUUCUCUGGGCAUUACCUGACGCUGAGGAGCGAAAGUGUGGGGAGCGAACAGG
Molecule: ribosomal RNA, 253 nt
Filed under: uncultured bacterium
Lineage: Bacteria
Description: partial 16S ribosomal RNA
Rfam family: Bacterial small subunit ribosomal RNA
Source: RNAcentral